UGAAGAGCUAUCCAAAAAGCAGGCUGCCCAAGAAUCAACUAUUAGGAAACUAAGAGCACAGGUCAGGGAAUUUGAAGAAGAAAAACAAAGGCUUAACUCAAGACUUCAGGUUGAGGAGGCAAAAGUAGAGAGUAUUAAGAAAGACAAGGCUGCGACAGAGAAGUUGCUGCAAGAAACAAUAGAGAGGAAUCAAGCAGAUUUUG
Molecule: unclassified non-coding RNA, 203 nt
Filed under: Hevea brasiliensis (rubber tree)
Lineage: Eukaryota; Viridiplantae; Streptophyta; Magnoliopsida; Malpighiales; Euphorbiaceae
Source: RNAcentral